Falco peregrinus (peregrine falcon) is the source of this 1062-nucleotide long non-coding RNA. RefSeq lists it as uncharacterized. The record is from RefSeq and is a predicted model, not a curated record. The transcript is spliced from 3 exons. Lineage: Eukaryota; Metazoa; Chordata; Aves; Falconiformes; Falconidae.
CUCAGACCCUACCUCUGUCAGCGACUGGAACGGCUUUUUCAGGUCCACCACAUUCAAGUUUCCGAUCAGAGGAAGAGGUCGCGGCCCAGGAGGCAAAUGGCAAACCGACUUCUUCAAGCUGGGGCAGAAUGAAGGGACAGGACCCAUGCUGGAUUGCUGUCGUGGUGCCAGGUCACAAAACUCAGCUGGACCACUGGUGAUGCAAUGGAGGAAGCAGGACGCAGGAGGGAAAGCCCACGAUAAUGUAUGGCCCAGGGUGCAGCUGGCAAGGAAGGCAAUCUGUCCUCAGGGAAGACAAGGCUGACCAAGGAGGAAUUGGAAUGGUGAUGGCAUGAGGAUGUGCCAAUUCAGGAAUGAAGGUGACAGUAGGUCUAUCAGACCUUGGCUUCCAGUAUGCGAUCCUGAACACAGCAUGUGACUAAGUUGCCGGCUUGCAGGUGAGACAUCCCACAUGGGGCUGGGGAGAAAAUGUGGCUCCCUGCUCACAUGUCUUUGUCUUUCUACCAGCCCAGGCCAGAACCAAUAGCAUCUUCAGGUAAGCAGACUUUGUGGGCAUAGCUCAGGGAAAUAAGCACUUCCUCUAGACAAGGAGCCUGUACAUUAAACAGCCACAGGAUCAUCUAACUUCUCUGUGCUCAUCUGGAGAAGGACAUAUAAUCUUCUAAUGGGACACAAGUUAAUAAUGCUACAGUAACAGUAGGAUAAUGCAGACAAAGAGCUGUUAUAAGGCCAUAAUUCAGUCAAUGAGUUCUGAUAACAUAAUAAAACAUGAGAGUGAACACCAAGUGCUUAUGUGCCUUGCAAGGCUCUGCCACUGAUUUACAACCUCAAGAGAUGCGUAUCAGCCCAUGCAUUGUUAUCAGGGAUAUAUAAAGCAUGAGCACACCCUAUUAAACAUUAACAUUUUUAAAGUCUCAGAUGUGUUAAAACUCAGGCUGCUCCUUGCUAAUGGAUUUUGUUCAGUGACAAAUGUCAAUGCAAAAAGAAAUCAAAAGCUUUCUGACUUUGACCUCUUUCAAUUUUUUCAAAAUUAUUUCAUUGUUUUAUUGGCUUACACCCACU